UUGAAAGGGAAACGAUUGAAGUCAGUCGGACCAGCGAGGAUCAACCUUUCGAGUGGGUGAUUGGAGUUUUUUGAAGAGUGUCAAAACCUUUAUUUCAAAAUAUUCGCUCUUUUGGUGUACUUUCUCGUGGGUAGGUUAACAUCGAUUUUGAUCAUCAUAAAAAGAUUGGAGGAAUGUAGCUUCGAUCUUGUAUUGAAGUGUUAUAGCCUUUGGUAAAUGUGAUGAUUAGGAUCGAGGAUUGCAACGAAUACCCUUUUGGGCUAUCCGCCUGAUCUCUGAUACGUGGCCUUGGUAUCGAAAGCGUGCUUAUGGUAUUGAGGUAUUACGGUCAAAAGGUUAGAACGGAUUACAUUCGUUAAGGAUGUUGACGUA
This 372-nucleotide ribosomal RNA is filed under the name uncultured Glomeromycotina. RNAcentral's name for it is "LSU rRNA". The record is from RNAcentral. Lineage: Eukaryota; Fungi; Glomeromycota.